RNAcentral lists this transfer RNA (69 nucleotides) under Ictidomys tridecemlineatus (thirteen-lined ground squirrel). Its description in RNAcentral is "Spermophilus tridecemlineatus (thirteen-lined ground squirrel) tRNA". It matches the Rfam family "tRNA". Rfam says of the family: Transfer RNA (tRNA) molecules are approximately 80 nucleotides in length. Their secondary structure includes four short double-helical elements and three loops (D, anti-codon, and T loops). The record is from Rfam by way of RNAcentral. Lineage: Eukaryota; Metazoa; Chordata; Mammalia; Rodentia; Sciuridae.
GGGGUUGUGGCUCAUUGGUAAAGCGCUUGCCUCACAUGCAUGAGGCCCUGGGUUUAAUCCUCAGCACCA